GACGAACGCUGGCGGCGUGCUUAACACAUGCAAGUCGAACGGAAAGGCCCUGCUUUUGUGGGGUGCUCGAGUGGCGAACGGGUGAGUAACACGUGAGUAACCUGCCCUUGACUUUGGGAUAACUUCAGGAAACUGGGGCUAAUACCGGAUAUGAGCUCCUGCUGCAUGGGGGGGGUUGGAAAGUUUCGGCGGUUGGGGAUGGACUCGCGGCUUAUCCGCUUGUUGGUGGGGUAGUGGCUUACCAAGGCUUUGACGGGUAGCCGGCCUGAGAGGGUGGACGGCGACAUUGGGCCUGAGAUACGGCCCAGACGCCUACGGGAGGCAGCAGUGGGGAAUAUUGCGCAAUGGGCGGAAGCCUGAGGCGGCAGCGCCGCGUGCGGGAUGACGGCCUACGGGUUGUAAACCGCUUUCGCCUGUGACGAAGCGUGAGUGACGGUAAUGGGUAAAGAAGCACCGGCUAACUACGUG
Molecule: ribosomal RNA, 468 nt
Filed under: uncultured bacterium
Lineage: Bacteria
Description: partial 16S ribosomal RNA
Rfam family: Bacterial small subunit ribosomal RNA
Source: RNAcentral